CGGGAGAUAGAUACUUGAGUUUCAACAAGUUAAGAUUACUUAACAUAAUUCUUCCCAAAAGCAAAGAAAAAAUGCCUUUUGAUGACUGUAACUUGUGAAGUAUUAAUUUACAGACAGAUACGGGGCAUACAUUU
Molecule: non-coding RNA, 134 nt
Organism: Harpegnathos saltator (Jerdon's jumping ant)
Lineage: Eukaryota; Metazoa; Arthropoda; Insecta; Hymenoptera; Formicidae
Source: Rfam